UACGUAGGGGGCAAGCGUUGUCCGGAAUCAUUGGGCGUAAAGAGCGUGUAGGCGGCCCUGUAAGUCCGCUGUGAAAGUCGGGGGCUCAACCCUCGAAUGCCGGUGGAUACUGUCGGGCUAGAGUGCGGAAGAGGCGAGUGGAAUUCCUGGUGUAGCGGUGAAAUGCGCAGAUAUCAGGAGGAACACCGGUGGCGAAGGCGGGUCUCUGGGCCGAUACUGACGCUGAGGAGCGAAAGCGUGGGGAGCGAACAGG
RNAcentral lists this ribosomal RNA (253 nucleotides) under uncultured bacterium. Its description in RNAcentral is "partial 16S ribosomal RNA". It matches the Rfam family "Bacterial small subunit ribosomal RNA", at positions 524 to 776 of the family's 1533-position model. The record is from RNAcentral.